RNAcentral lists this long non-coding RNA (3852 nucleotides) under Salmo salar (Atlantic salmon). Its description in RNAcentral is "lncRNA (ENSSSAG00000108223.1)". Lineage: Eukaryota; Metazoa; Chordata; Actinopteri; Salmoniformes; Salmonidae. The record is from RNAcentral.
ACCUAUACAACUAAACACAACAUUACCAACCUGCUACAACAUUACCAACCUGCUACAAGUAAACACAACAUUACCAACCUGCACAACUCAACACAACAUUACCAACCUGCACAACUCAACACAACAUUAUCAACCUGCUACAACAUUAUCAACCUAUACAACUAAACACAACAUUAUCAACCUGCUACAACAUUAUCAACCUAUACAACUAAACACAACAUUACCAACCUGCUACAACUCAACACAACAUUAUCAACCUAUACAACUAAACACAACAUUAUCAACCUGCUACAACAUUAUCAACCUAUACAACUAAACACAACAUUAUCAACCUGCUACAACAUUAUCAACCUAUACAACUAAACACAACAUUACCAACCUGCUACAACUCAACACAACAUUACCAACCUGCUACAACUAAAUACAACAUUAUCAACCUGCUACAACAUUAUCAACCUGUACAACUAAACACAACAUUAUCGACCUGCUACAACUAAACACAACAUUAUCGACCUGCUACAACUAAACACAACAUUACAACCUGCUACAACUAAACACAACAUUAUCGACCUGCUACAACUAAACACAACAUUAUCGACCUGCUACACAGAGAGGAACCAAGCAUAAAUGUAUUUUUCCAUUGAUUGAAAAUAGCUGUCACUGCAGGGGGAUGUUUGUAGCCAUCUUUUCAUUUUAUUUUCUCCUUCAUGUGGGAACAUCUAUAAUAUUAGACCCAUCUCUUUAUUCUCUUGAAUGACUUGUACAGACCAGGGUCUGUACCGACCCCGAGCUGGACUGAGGAGGUUUUAUACAGACCAGGGUCUGUAUCGACCCCGAGCUGGACUGAGGAGGUUUUAUACAGACCAGGGUCUGUACCGACCCCGAGCUGGACUGAGGAGGUUUUAUUCAGACCAGGGUCUGUAUCGACCCCGAGCUGGACUGAGGAGGUUUUAUACAGACCAGGGUCUGUAUCGACCCCGAGCUGGACUGAGGAGGUUUUAUACAGACCAGGGUCUGUACCGACCCCGAGCUGGACUGAGGAGGUUUUAUACAGACCAGGGUCUGUACUGAGCUGGACUGAGGAGGUUUUAUACAGACCAGGGUCUGUGAUCAACCAAGAUGGACUGAGGAGGUUUUAUACAGACCAGGAUCUGUACCGACCCAGAACUGAACUGAGGAGGUUUUAUACAGACCAGGGUCUGUACCGACCCAGAGCUGGACUGAGGAGGUUUUAUACAGACCAGGGUCUGUACCGACCCAGAGCUGGACUGAGGAGGUUUUAUACAGACCAGGGUCUGUGAUCAACCAAGAUGGACUGAGGAGGUUUUAUACAGACCAGGAUCUGUACCGACCCAGAACUGAACUGAGGAGGUUUUAUACAGACCAGGGUCUGUACCGACCCAGAGCUGGACUGAGGAGGUUUUAUACAGACCAGGGUCUGUACCGACCCAGAGCUGGACUGAGGAGGUUUUAUACAGACCAGGGUCUGUGAUCAACCAAGAUGGACUGAGGAGGUUUUAUACAGAUCAGGGUCUGGACUGAGGAGGUUUUAUACAGACCAGGGUCUGUACCGACCCAGAACUGGACUGAGGAGGUUUUAUACAGACCAGGGUCUGUACCGACCCAGAACUGGACUGAGGAGGUUUUAUACAGACCAGGGUCUGUACCGACCCCGAGCUGCACUGAGGAGGUUUUAUACAGACCAGGGUCUGUACCGACCCCGAGCUGGACUGAGGAGGUUUUAUACAGACCAGGGUCUGUAUCGACCCCGAGCUGGACUGAGGAGGUUUUAUACAGACCAGGGUCUGUACCGACCCCGAGCUGGACUGAGGAGGUUUUAUACAGACCAGGGUCUGUACUGAGCUGGACUGAGGAGGUUUUAUACAGACCAGGGUCUGUGAUCAACCAAGAUGGACUGAGGAGGUUUUAUACAGACCAGGGUCUGUACCGACCCCGAGCUGGACUGAGGAGGUUUUAUACAGACCAGGGUCUGUACCGACCCAGAGCUGGACUGAGGAGGUUUUAUACAGACCAGGGUCUGUACCGACCCAGAGCUGGACUGAGGAGGUUUUAUACAGACCAGGGUCUGUGAUCAACCAAGAUGGACUGAGGAGGUUUUAUACAGACCAGGAUCUGUACCGACCCAGACCUGAACUGAGGAGGUUUUAUACAGACCAGGGUCUGUACCGACCCAGAGCUGGACUGAGGAGGUUUUAUACAGACCAGGGUCUGUACCGACCCAGAGCUGGACUGAGGAGGUUUUAUACAGACCAGGGUCUGUGAUCAACCAAGAUGGACUGAGGAGGUUUUAUACAGACCAGGGUCUGUACCGAGCUGGACUGAGGAGGUUUUAUACAGACCAGGGUCUGUAUCAACCCCGAGCUGGACUGAGGAGGUUUUAUACAGACCAGGGUCUGUACCGACCCCGAGCUGGACUGAGGAGGUUUUAUACAGACCAGGGUCUGUAUCGACCCAGAGCUGGACUGAGGGGUUUUAUACAGACCAGGGUCUGUACCGAGCUGGACUGAGGAGGUUUUAUACAGACCAGGAUCUGUACCGACCCAGAACUGGACUGAGGAGGUUUUAUACAGACCAGGGUCUGUAUCGACCCAGAGCUGGACUGAGGAGGUUUUAUACAGACCAGGGUCUGUACCGACCCAGAACUGGACUGAGGAGGUUUUAUACAGACCAGGGUCUGUACCGACCCAGAGCUGGACUGAGGAGGUUUUAUACAGACCAGGCUCUGUGAUCAACCAAGAUGGACUGAGGAGGUUUUAUACAGACCAGGAUCUGUACCGACCCAGAACUGGACUGAGGAGGUUUUAUACAGACCAGGGUCUGUAUCGACCCAGAGCUGGACUGAGGAGGUUUUAUACAGACCAGGGUCUGUACCGACCCCGAGCUGGACUGAGGAGGUUUUAUACAGACAGGGUCUGUGAUCAACCAAGAUGGACUGAGGAGGUUUUAUACAGACCAGGAUCUGUACCGAGCUGGACUGAGGAGGUUUUAUACAGACCAGGGUCUGUAUCGACCCAGAGCUGGACUGAGGGGUUUUAUACAGACCAGGGUCUGUACCGACCCAGAGCUGGACUGAGGAGGUUUGAUACAGACCAGGGUCUGUACCGACCCAGAGCUGGACUGAGGAGGUUUUAUACAGACCAGGGUCUGUACCGAGCUGGACUGAGGAGGUUUUAUACAGACCAGGGUCUGUACCGACCCAGAGCUGGACUGAGGAGGUUUUAUACAGACCAGGGUCUGUAUCGACCCCGAGCUGGACUGAGGAGGUUUUAUACAGACCAGGGUCUGUACCGAGCUGGACUGAGGGGUUUUAUACAGACCAGGGUCUGUACCGACCCAGAGCUGGACUGAGGAGGUUCUAUACCUGGUCUGUGUUCAACCAAGAUGGAAGAGGAACGACUCAAACAUCCGAAUCUUAGUGCCAAGGUUACCGUGGAAACAGAGGAGGGGAACUGAUUUGUCUAAGUAACUAAUAUUAAAACAUUAAAAAAAUAAGUGUUAUGUAAAGUUGUUAUUGUCUAUUUGUUGGAGCGUAAACAGAGAAACAACAGAUGGGACGAUGUGCAUUGUUGUCCUGUCAGGAGUGGAUUGAUUGAUUGAUUGAUUGAUUGAUUGAUUGAUUGAUUGAACUCUGGCUCCAAAGGUAAGGUAGGAGCAGAUGGUAGGGCGAGGCCUCUUCCUAUUGGAGGACCAACAGCCUAUUAUCUAUCAGUCCCACUACCACCCAGUACACCAACUACCCUGUAGAACCAUCAGUCCCACUACCACCCAGUACACCGACUACCCUGUAGAACCCAGCCUAGUACCCAUCAGUCCCACUACCACCCAGUACAC